GUGAAGGUGGGUGCCGUGCAUGGUCGUGAAGAGCUCCGUGUCUACCCACAAAGAAACAAUAUAGAAGCAACGCCUUUUCGCCAUUCGAUGUUAAUGUGGAAGAGUGAACAGUAAAUGGUUAACCUUACUACGACUCUGUCUUCAUUGGCUCCGGUUUAACUUGGUGUGUAGUCAGAGUUUCAACACACUGCACAUGAACACUACCGUGACAGAAAGAGACACUCCAGCCCACUGCAGGACAAGAGUUUGUUGUCCUUUACACACAAAAAAAAAAUUGUCUUCUGUUGUUUGUCCUUUUGGGUGAGGUCUUGGAUUUUCUGAGUACGCCCCAAGAAAAUGAAUCUCAGGAGAUGAAGAGAGAAGACACUGGAGGGAACUGGUCGUAGGAUUCGAUCUGGUGGGAAAAUGCAAGUCAAUGGAGCCAAGACACAGAGGUCUACCAAGGAUCGGUGAACAUGGUCUUUGGAAGAUUUGAGCUCCAAUCUGUGCACAAGCGACUGUUUAACUUUAAUGGGUGC
This is a long non-coding RNA of Mobula hypostoma (lesser devil ray), 518 nucleotides long. RefSeq lists it as uncharacterized. Lineage: Eukaryota; Metazoa; Chordata; Chondrichthyes; Myliobatiformes; Myliobatidae. The record is from RefSeq and is a predicted model, not a curated record. The transcript has 4 exons.